UCAAAAUCGAAGCUUUUCGGACAAUUCAACAAAAUCAGACAAACAUGCAGUGGCCUACCCAUUAGGUGAACACAGCACAUGCUGUGCACACAUACUAACUCACUCCAAUAGUGACGGGAAGCGAGCAUCGUACAAUUUUCUAUUGUACGGACAUAACCACCUCCAAUAAACUAUAGAGAGCAGAGGAUCGUCCACCUAUUAUGGCACAGCAUGAGGAAUUUCUGGAAUCAUCCUAACUAUCACGGAGCCCCAGGAAUCGGGUUUUAAAAAGACCAUGAUUCCUAGCCGGCCUAUACUCAAG
This 301-nucleotide unclassified non-coding RNA is filed under the name Hevea brasiliensis (rubber tree). Lineage: Eukaryota; Viridiplantae; Streptophyta; Magnoliopsida; Malpighiales; Euphorbiaceae. The record is from RNAcentral.